RNAcentral lists this long non-coding RNA (652 nucleotides) under Lathyrus oleraceus (garden pea). Its description in RNAcentral is "Pisum sativum (pea) long non-coding RNA (PSAT_LNC025915)". The record is from RNAcentral. Lineage: Eukaryota; Viridiplantae; Streptophyta; Magnoliopsida; Fabales; Fabaceae.
CCACAUCACAAACUCGCCGAAACCCACAAACCCGAAUCCACUGUCAAAACCCUCUUCGCCGCCAACAAUCCUUGCUUUCUCCUGUUUAUAUUCCGCAAUCCGACACCACAAACCCCUUUCGACCACGCCAACAACGUGAACCCAUCCGCCGAAGACCUUGGCGCCUUGGUUCUCAUGCUUUUCAUUGAAGAUCUUGUUAGCUGAGUCGAAGAUUGUGAUUAAGCUUCGUCAAAUCUCACCACUGUAAUCGUUCAAGAGCCGAAGCGUUCAUUCCGCUGCCGGUGUCGUCAAGUGAGCAAUAAGGCAACAACAAAGGCACAGCUUUGACUCCGCAUUCGGUAAUCUUUUAAACAGAGAGCAAUAUUGAGGAUUUGAAUCUGUUUAGAAAUUUCUGGUUCUGAGUUAAGCUUAUUUGUCACUGUUUUUUGAUUUCAAAUGGAUUGUGCAUCUUUGUUUUACGUUUUGAUUAUGUAUAUAUGUUGAUGCUCAAUGCUGGCCAAAUGCAGUAUGAUGUUAGUUUGGUCUGUCCGUUCUAUUAUGGUUAGUUGAUACUCCUCAUUGUUGUUUUGCUUGAUUGUUCCUAUUUUUGAUGCGAAUCGAUUUCGGUCACUUAGAUUUCAAGAUCUUCAAUUCGAUUUUGAGCUGUAGUAAA